UGGGGUGUAGCCAAGUGGUAAGGCAGUGGUUUUUGGUACCACCAUUCGAGGGUUCGAAUCCUUCCACCCCAA
RNAcentral lists this transfer RNA (72 nucleotides) under Rhabdochlamydiaceae bacterium. Its description in RNAcentral is "tRNA-Gln". It matches the Rfam family "tRNA". Rfam says of the family: Transfer RNA (tRNA) molecules are approximately 80 nucleotides in length. Their secondary structure includes four short double-helical elements and three loops (D, anti-codon, and T loops). Further hydrogen bonds mediate the characteristic L-shaped molecular structure. tRNAs have two regions of fundamental functional importance: the anti-codon, which is responsible for specific mRNA codon recognition, and the 3' end, to which the tRNAs corresponding amino acid is attached (by aminoacyl-tRNA synthetases). tRNAs cope with the degeneracy of the genetic code in two manners: having more than one tRNA (with a specific anti-codon) for a particular amino acid; and 'wobble' base-pairing, i.e. permitting non-standard base-pairing at the 3rd anti-codon position. Lineage: Bacteria; Pseudomonadati; Chlamydiota; Chlamydiia; Parachlamydiales; Candidatus Rhabdochlamydiaceae. The record is from RNAcentral.